This is a long non-coding RNA of Populus trichocarpa (black cottonwood), 2699 nucleotides long. RefSeq lists it as uncharacterized. The record is from RefSeq and is a predicted model, not a curated record. NCBI's taxonomy places the organism in Eukaryota, Viridiplantae, Streptophyta, Magnoliopsida, Malpighiales, Salicaceae. The transcript has 2 exons.
UGUGGAUUGUAACAGUACCUUGAGUUUUUUUUUCCUUCAUGCUCACGAGUUAUUAAAGGCAGAUCUUUUUCUAUUUUUACUGGGAGUAUUUCAAUUUCUCCAAAAUUCUCGCGAGCUGUUAAAACUACAAGCAAAACUAUUUUUUUAUGCCUGAAAGACGUGGAUCAAUUGGCACCAUAUUUUUUUCUUUUUCUCCUCUCUCACCAGCCGACAAAGGCAAAUCAAUUUUUCUUUUCUUUCUUCCCUCUUCACACUAGCAACACUGGCUCUCUCUUUUCAUCUUAGCCUUUUCAUUUGAAUCGCUUAAUUUCGGGGUUGUUUUGUUUCUGAUUAAGAGUUGACUUCUUUUUUUCACGCAUCAACAUCCUUUUAUUUGAAGUUAAAGGACUUUUCAAAGAUGGUUUUUUGAAUUUCUUUACAGUAAUUAUGGUUGAUUUGUUUUUGCAUCUAUUUUUUUAGGAGUUGAAGACAGAAAAGAGAGAAGCAAGGAAGGCCAUGUCGGGUUAGAGUCUGUAGAUAAAAGUCGACAGAUCAUAUAUAUGCUAUAAAAAAGCUUGAGAAAUUAGAGAUGCUUUGUUGAGGCCAGGUGUGUGAUUUUGUUAAGCUUUCUUAACAAUUUUAUUGGAUUUCUUUUUCAUUAUAUGCUUAUUUCCAAUUUGGAUCUAAAUGUCCACGUUAAACAUUUGAAAGUAGAAAAGUUUCACAAAUUAUUUUAGAUUGAAGUUCAAUUCGACGGAUAAGUUAGGGUUUAAACACAUCUAUGACUACAAUUUAAAUAGACUUUGAAAUAUGAUUGUGGAUCUUCCGGGGGAGUAUUUUUUUUAUCGUUCACAAUUUUAAUUUCUUUUUUGUUUUCAUGGAUUGUUUUUGAGAUAAUAAUGAAAGCAAUGUCAAUCAAAAGUUUAGCAUGAUUGUCAAUUAUAACCUUAUUUUAAUCUUCUUUGAUUCUAAUUACUACUGAUAUAUUUAUUGGUUUUUUUCCUUUUUGUCUAUGAUAUGUCUUUUGGUUAUUGUGCCCAUAAUUAUUUUACAAUGAAUCAUCCAGGAUUAAAUUAUUGCAUUAUCCAGUGGCUUUUAAUCAACCAUUUUUUAAAAGUGUUUUUUCUUCCAUAAGUAGAUGGUAUCCAGGUGAGAGUGUUCAUAUUGUUAAAAUAUUUGACUCAGUGUGCUACUGUCUCUAUAUUAUAAGAGUGCAUUGCUUCAGGUAUUUUUAUCCGAGUGAACAAGUUUCAUAUAUUACAGGAAAAAAAAAUUAUGUUCUCAUCUUACCUUUCCACAAUUUGGUUUUUUGUUCUAAUAGUUGGAGGUGCUAGGUGUGCUGUUAUUUUUACAUGGUUUAAUUUACUCCUUAUAAGGACCCAUACUCCAUAAGUAAGAUGCAUUUUUUUUCCACAUAUUGCGAGGUUGUUUUGCUUUCUCCUGUUUUCAGAAUUCAACAGAAUUUAUACUUUUGAAUUUAUAUUUUUAUCAAGAUAUAUAUAUAUAUAUAUAUAUAUAUAUAUAUAUAUAUAUAUAUAUAUAUAUAUAUAUAUAUAUAUAUAUAUAUACACUUGAUAAAAGAAAAGUGGGGGCGGGGGGUGUUAAUGAAAUAAAUAAAAGACGUAGGCCUUGACUAUUUCUUUUCAUAUAUGCUAAGUUUUUUUUUUUUGUUAUUGGUUAUUUCAAUCUCUUUUUUUUACACCUUGAAUCUGCAAUUAAGAAGAAAAAAGUCAGAAACUUAAAUUAUCUUAGUUGCUUUUAUGGUAUUAUUUCUAAAGGAUUAAUUUUUUUUAUUGAAACGGGGUAUGAUUUGCACAAUAGCCUUACUUUUAUUUUUUAACUAAUAAUUUUAUCGAUGAGAUUUGACUGACUGUAGCCUGUUUUGUCAAAUGCAGCUUUACAGGUAAUAAUCUAGAUCUCAACUCUAUUAACUGUCAUUGCAUAUUUGGUUCAUCUUUGUUUACCUUUUCAUUUUUCUUAUACCUUCGGUCCACAAUAAUUUACUACUAAAUCAACUGCAGCACCUUGCUCUUUUUUUUCCAGUCUUUGCUGUUGAGAUGAUCAUAUUUCAUAUGAUAUCUCACUACCAAAUUUUGUGUAGGCUUCUGACUUUUUACAACAUAUUCUACCUAGCUUUAAUUGGUUGAAGUGAACUUACAUUCCUUAGGCUUAACUAUUGGCUUGGCAACUAACUUGCCUAGCAUUCUUUAUCUUUAAUCCAUAUCACUUUGAUGGAUUAUGGCUUCUCAAGUUUAUGCUGCACCAUUUUUUUUCUGGUAUAAUUUAUCCACUGCUUUUGCUGGUGUAGAACUGUGCUAGCAGUUUCUCUUACUCAAAAUCUUUCAAGUCCUAACAAGUUAUUUAAAGUCUUUCUAAGAAAUUUUCGUUUAUCUUACUUGAUAACCAUGAUUGCAAUUAUAUUUGUUUCCAUGUUGCAUUUUCAUUUCUGAUAUUACAAGAAAACAUUCUAUAGACUUGCUUUAUUGACAAUUCUGUAUGUUUUUGCAGGCUCUAUGCUGCUUUGGAUUGGUAUUAUUUAAAAAUAAUUUAUCUAUUAAGUUAACUAUGUUUCUUAAUGUCUCUGCUUUUAGUUUAGUGGCAAUAGGUUUUUGGAUAUUGGUUGAAUAUCAAAUGAUUUGUAUUUGAAUUGUGUUUUGCGGUUUCAUUGUUAUACAUUGAGAAAUUAAUAGAAUGCAUGGUCCAACAACUUUUUUAUUUUA